Austrofundulus limnaeus is the source of this 396-nucleotide long non-coding RNA. RefSeq lists it as uncharacterized. The record is from RefSeq and is a predicted model, not a curated record. The transcript is spliced from 3 exons. Lineage: Eukaryota; Metazoa; Chordata; Actinopteri; Cyprinodontiformes; Rivulidae.
CGAGCUGGUUGGGCUUGAGAAGGCGGGGCUACGAUUGAUGGAGCAGGACCAGGAGCCGCAGCCUGAGCCGGAGCAGGCGCAGGUCUUUGUGCAGCUAAUGGAUGAACAUAAAUCCAUCUCAGCUGAAUUUUGAGCAUCUCCAUGGGAGUCGUGACCACCACCUGACAAGUCCCGGCCCCACACCCAGCCAGUACCUCCGCCCACAGGGGCAAAUGCCUGAGUAGCAUCCGUAACACAGCCUCAGAGUGGGAGAAGCACCAGACAGAAAGCAGACCCGACUCACUGCUGCCACCUUCUGGCACCCUGGACUCUGGCUGCAUCUCUUUCCUUUGGUCUAAAGGGCCAAAAUCUGUUUUUUGUCUUCUUCUUUUUUUUUCUUUCAGUGACAAACAAACU